CCUACGGGUGGCAGCAGUGGGGAAUAUUGCACAAUGGGGGAAACCCUGAUGCAGCGACGCCGCGUGAGUGAAGAAGUAUUUCGGUACGUAAAGCUCUAUCAGCAGGGAAGAAAAUGACGGUACCUGACUGAGAAGCACCGGCUAACUACGUGCAAGCAGCCGCGGUAAUACGUAGGGGGCAAGCGUUAUCCGGAUUUACGGGGUGUAAAGGGGGCGUAGAGGGUAGCGCAAGUCUGGAGUGAAAUCCCAUGGCUUAACCAUGGAACUGCUUUGGAAACUGUGCAGCUGGAGGUCAGGAGAGGUAGGCGGAAUGUCUAGUGUAGCGGUGAAAUGCGUAGAUAUUAGACGGAACACCAGUGGCGAAGGCGGCUUACUGGACUGUAACUGACGUUGAGGCUCGAAAGCGUGGGGAGCAAACAGGAUUAGAUACCCUAGUAGUC
Molecule: ribosomal RNA, 440 nt
Filed under: uncultured bacterium
Lineage: Bacteria
Description: partial 16S ribosomal RNA
Rfam family: Bacterial small subunit ribosomal RNA
Source: RNAcentral